CCUACGGGAGGCAGCAGUGAGGAAUAUUGGUCAAUGGACGAGAGUCUGAACCAGCCAAGUAGCGUGAAGGAUGACUGCCCUAUGGGUUGUAAACUUCUUUUAUAAAGGAAUAAAACGAGGCACGUGUGCCGUUUUGCAUGUACUUUAUGAAUAAGCAUCGGCUAACUCCGUGCCAGCAGCCGCGGUAAUACGGAGGAUACGAGCGUUAUCCGGAUUUAUUGGGUUUAAAGGGAGCGUAGAUGGGUUGUUAAGUCAGUUGUGAAAGUUUGCGGCUCAACCGUAAAAUUGCAAUUGAUACUGGCAGUCUUGAGUACAGUUGAGGUAGGCGGAAUUCGUGGUGUAGCGGUGAAAUGCUUAGAUAUCACGAAGAACCCCGAUUGCGAAGGCAGCUUACUAAACUGUGACUGACAUUGAUGCUCGAAAGUGUGGGUAUCAAACAGGAUUAGAUACCCCUGUAGUC
Molecule: ribosomal RNA, 460 nt
Filed under: uncultured bacterium
Lineage: Bacteria
Description: partial 16S ribosomal RNA
Rfam family: Bacterial small subunit ribosomal RNA
Source: RNAcentral